AAAAAAGUACCUUAUAAAUAUAAAGGGUGGCUAUGAUAAAGCUAACAAAGUUUUACUCUUUUUUA
This 65-nucleotide transfer RNA is filed under the name Phalangium opilio (common harvesterman). RNAcentral's name for it is "tRNA-Ile". The record is from RNAcentral. Lineage: Eukaryota; Metazoa; Arthropoda; Arachnida; Opiliones; Phalangiidae.